UACGUAGGAUGCAAGCGUUGUUCGGAAUUACUGGGCGUAAAGAGUACGUAGGCGGUUUGAUAAGUCUGCUAUUAAAGACUGGAGCUUAACUCCAGGACUGUAGUGGAAACUGUCAGACUAGAGGACAAUAGAGGAAGUCGGAAUUCUCAGUGUAGCGGUGAAAUGCGUAGAUAUUGGGAAGAACACCAGUGGCGAAGGCGGCCGACUGGUCCGGUUCUGACGCUGAGGCGCGAAAGCGUGGGGAGCAAACAGG
RNAcentral lists this ribosomal RNA (253 nucleotides) under uncultured bacterium. RNAcentral's name for it is "partial 16S ribosomal RNA". It matches the Rfam family "Bacterial small subunit ribosomal RNA", at positions 524 to 776 of the family's 1533-position model. The record is from RNAcentral.